This 613-nucleotide long non-coding RNA is filed under the name Homo sapiens (human). Its description in RNAcentral is "HSALNT0018816". Lineage: Eukaryota; Metazoa; Chordata; Mammalia; Primates; Hominidae. The record is from RNAcentral.
CCCACCCUCAAUCUGGGUGGGCACCAUCUAAUCAGCUGCCAGCAUGAUCAGAAUAAAAGCAGGCAGAAUAAUGUGAAAAGACUAGGCUGGCUUAGUCUCCCACCCUACAUCUUUCUCCCAUGCUGGAUGCUUCCUGCCCUCGAACAUAGGACUUCAGCUUUGGAAUUCCGACUGGCUUCCUUUUCCUUAGCUUGCAGAUAGCUUAUUAUGGGACCUCACCUGGUGAUCAUGGCAUCUUUUCUUGCCAUGGGCCUCAAUCAAAACCAGAAGUCUUUCCAGUCACCUGGCAAAUGGCAAAAGCAGGAUACACAGCAAUGCCCCAGAUAGUCACUGCUGCACCAGGCUGGGUCCUGCAGUAAGGAUGAUGCAGAGCAGAACUGCCAACCAACCUGCAAUGGAUACGCAGUACAAGUGAGAAAUAAAUUCUUAAGUUUUAAGCCACUGACAUCAUGGAGUUAUUUUGUUACUACAGUGUAACCCAGCUCAUCCUGACUGAUAUGACUGUGAAUUCAACUGGUGAUUAAACACUGAGUUUAAAUCUUGGCUCUCUCAGUUCAGUAUGUACAAGAUAUAGGAGAUAUUUUCAACAACUUUACAUAAAGUCCCUACGUUU